GGUGGCCGGGCAUCCCCCCUCCCCCCACGGCGGCACUGGUGAGUUUUGAGGUGUGCCAUGGAACUGGACACCAGGCAGUUUUUGUAAAACUAACAGGCUGAGCAGACAGUCGACAGGGGACAAAGCUUGUCUUCCAUCGUGACUCAGUAAGGACUUUGGGCACUGUCCUGAUGGCCUGUGGCUUGGACAGCAACCUCUCCCUCCUCGAGCCCCCUGGCCUGGUCCUGGGCAGGGCCUGGGUUGUGCAGAUGGCCAAGUUCCACUUUUGUCCAUCUCUAAUGGGCAAAUGCACCAAUGGCAGCACACGGCAAGAGGUGCUCCCCGUGGUAUGUGGAGGUCCUGAGCAGUUCUUGGGCUGAGGUCUGUGGAGCUAGGUCUUUGGAGCUGGAUCUCAGAGGAAGAUCUCAGAAGCCCUGCCAAGACACAGUUUCAUGUUGUAUUUCACCUGAAUCCCAAAAAGGCAGCUCCUGAAGUCCCAUUACUGUGUGGUGGUGUCAGGCCAUUCCAUCUUCAGCUGGCUGGCUCACCCAUGGCCCCUGCCUGGCUUUGCCACUAGGUGGAGCCACAGGCCUACCCAAUUGCUUCCCCACGUUGCAAACGCCAGACCUGCCUUUCAAAUUUAGCGUCAGGACUCUUCUUCAACUCUCCUAAAUUUUUCAAGUUUCUGUUACAUGGUGACAUCUAGGGGUAUUUAGAGACAAAAACAGAGCAGCUGUUACACUUAGGACUUUCACUUAAAACCAGUGAUGAUAAAUCCAGUGCAUGUAAACAUCACAGUUUAAAGAAAAACAGCUUUAUUUUCCCAUCAUUGGUGCAGAUCCCUUAGAAGAGCUAGGUUAUAACUACGUGGCCAACUCAAGUUCUUUCUGCUGUUCUGUCCACAUUGAUUUGCUGCUUUUUGG
Long non-coding RNA from Bos taurus (domestic cattle), 902 nucleotides. The record is from Ensembl. Lineage: Eukaryota; Metazoa; Chordata; Mammalia; Artiodactyla; Bovidae.